This is an RNA transcript of Lagopus muta (rock ptarmigan), 3346 nucleotides long. It is a transcript of the gene named F-box and WD repeat domain containing 8, with no coding region annotated. The transcript has 10 exons. The record is from RefSeq and is a predicted model, not a curated record. NCBI's taxonomy places the organism in Eukaryota, Metazoa, Chordata, Aves, Galliformes, Phasianidae.
GUGUGGGAGGGGGACGCUGCGGGAAUUUGAGGGAGAAAGGGGUGGGAAAGCAGUGUGGGAACUGAGGGAGGGGGAACGCAGGCUGGGCAAGGAGACAGUCUAGGGGUUGUACUGAGAACUGAGGGUCCGGAUGGUGGGGCAGGUGACUGGGGGGUGUGAGGGAAGCUUUGGUGGGACAGGAUCCAAUUGGGGUGGGGGAGAGGGGUGGUGUGGGAUCAGAGGUCAGAGUGCAUGUUGGCGGGGGAAAGGGACAGUGCUUGUGUACAGAGACAUCUGAGAUCUGGGAACAGAGUUAGCAAGAGUGCAGAGAUGGAGCCGGCCGUGCUGCAGCAGCAGUGCAUGAAGGACAGACCGCGGGGCGGGUGGGAGAAGGGCGGGCAGCACACGGCCCAUCCAUCGCCACAGACACCGCCUCAGCCGCCCCGGGGCUCCGCCGCCGCGCACCGCCCGUGCCUCGCGCUCUCCCCUCAGGCACAAAAUGGCGGCGGCACUCAGCGCCUCGUUCCCGCGCGGUGGCAGCGGAGUAGGAACCUUCGCGGCGCGGAACUCGCGGGCGCGGGGAGCCGUUUCCGGGCCGGCCCCGCCGCCAUGGCCGAGGGCUCGGCGGAGCUGGAGCUGUUCCGCCGGCGAUGGCGGGAGGAGCUGGCGGCAGGCGGCAAGAAGCGGAGGCGGGAGGCGGCGGAGGGGCCCGGCGGGACGGGGAGAGACGGGUCGGGCUGCCUGGCGUUGGCCUGCGGCCUGCUGGACGGCGAGAGCCCGGCUCCGAGCAGCCCUCCGCCCGCCCGGCCCCGCGAGGAGGCCGCGAGGGAUGAGGCCGACGACCUGCUGGGACAGCUCAUCCGAGACCUGAAUGAGAUCAAUGAGGUUCCUUUCUUUGAUGUCCAUCUGCCAUAUGAACUGGCAUUGAAGAUAUUUCAGUAUCUGGGAAAGGCUGAACUGGGAAAGUGUGCUCAGGUCAGCAGAACAUGGAAAGUGCUCGCAGAAGAUGAAGUGCUGUGGUACCGGCUGUGCCAACAGGAAGGAUACCUGUUGGGUGUGAGCAUCUCUGAUCGGCCCUGCUGGAAGCUGGCCCUGAAGGACUGCCGUGCCAAAGAGCGUGCUCUGCGAACCAACUGGAAGAACCGCAGUGGUGCUGUGAGUCAGCUGCAAUACGAGCUGGGAAAAAUCCUGUGUGAUGUGCAUUCUUGUGAUGGAGUUGUUAUUGCUGGAUACACAUCGGGGGAAGUGAGGUUGUGGGACACGCGCACCUGGGACUACACAGCCCCCAUCCUGGAACCAGUGCAGGGUCCUGGUGAUGCUGGACCUCAGCCACAUGUCUCCUUUGUGAGGAUAAACAGCUCUCUGGCUGUAGCAGCUUACGAGGAUGGUACUGUGAGCGUUUGGAGCCUGAUGGUGGGGCGCGAGCCAAUCCAUCGCUACCAGCAUAACCAGAGGAUACAGGCUUUAGCUCUGGGUUCCAAGGGUGCAACAGUAGCGACAGCAUCUGGCUUAGAGGUCAAGGUGGAAAGCCCUGAUGACAGGGGAUUCUGGCAAACUACAGGAACGUUCGAAAUCCAGAAGUUGGUGAACUUCCUUCAUCUGGUUCCAGAGGUCUGGGACAGUCCGGUGGCAGUAGCAGCUGCAGAAGAUGUUGUCUAUCUGCUGAAAGGAGAAGACCCUGGGAAAAUCCUUCAUUCUGUCUAUGGUCAGCCUGUCACAUGUCUUGAUGUCUCUGCUCAUGAAGCAGCCUUUGGGGUCAAAGGCUUUGGCUGGAUACUGAAUGAGCCCAACCAGGUUUUGAAGUUCAUUUGCAGACCAGGACUGAAGUUCAACUGGGAGCUGGGUGGAAAUCACAGGAAGCACCUUCCUACCAAGUGGUUGGGCUCAUCUGCAUUGUUAACAUUUGUAAAAAGCAAUCUUUCAAAGACUGGAGUCUGACAUGAAUUGAGGAAGCUCAAAACAAAAGCUUUUAUAGCAGCUUUGUGGAUCUGAAACGUUAUUUCUACAGAUUCUAAUAGAUGGAAACAUUUUGGAAGUGAUGGGCAGCAGCAUGUUAGGUGAGGAGAAACCAGUCAUUUUUUGUUUGGGCUGCACGUAGGAGAGUAGCGCAGGUCUAAAACUGGACCACAAGCAGGAAGGGAUGGAACAUUUGCUCAGAUUUUAAGCAGCAAAACUUCGAAUGCUACGUGCAAGCAAUUCAUCUUCAUGGUCUUCCAUGGUCAUCGCUGCUCAAGUGUGUAUCAGAUGUUGAUAGGAGAGACAGAAGUGCUGGUCGUUUAGGUAAAUUAAUAGGCUUUGGAUGUUCAUGGUAAGUGGUAUUCCCAGGGGACUUUGGAGAAAGCAGCAUUUGCCCCUCUCCUCUCCAGAGCUGUAAGCAGAGCUGGCAGGGCAGCUUGCAGGGCACACACUGGGAGCUGCAGUGUUGCUGUUGAGCCCAUCGUCUGUCAUUUGCACGCUGAGUUCAGCAGUGUGUUCACUUUGUAUUUUUCCAACAAAACCUCCCAAAGAGAAAUCUGGUUGCAAGGCAGAGAUGCUCAUUUUCUUGCACUGAGAAUUCUGCAAAUUGCCAGAAUGUGGUUCACCCUAUCUUUGGUUAGGGAGGUGCUGGGAGCUGUUGUGUGCGUGUUGUUUUUUAUCUUGAUGACAAACACUUCCAGUUUGUAGCAGCUACUUUAUUGGAAUGGAAGUUUACAUUAUUUUAACAGCUUUCAAGUCUCCCUGCAAAGGCAGAAUCUCUUACUGUACAGAGAUACGGUGAAAUUGCUUUGGUUUGUGUUUCUUGUUUUGGUCUCAGGGAUGAAAAAACACGUGCUAGAAUUGGUAUUUGUGGCAAGCAAUUUGUACAGCACUAUACUGUAGGAAAAGGGAACUGGUUAGGAGAUGAUAAAUGUAAGUAACUGAGUGUAUUGGAUAUGAGUGUCUUCAUUCUAGUGGAGAACUUGAUAAUUUAUGUGGAUAAAACUCUGCGUUUCUUUUCACUGGAAGAAAUGGGGGCAGGAGAAAGCCUGCAACAUCUUUGCUUUAUUCCUAGAGGUUUGGAGACAUCCAUCACAGAAUGAUCUCCUGCUCUCUUAAUUCAACCUUUCAGAUGCAUCUUCAAAUUGCACGGUGAGGGAGUGAAAGGGCAGACAGCAUCACGUCACUGCUCUGCUGAGCGUGGAAGCAGUGUGCUCUGACAGUGUAAUAUUUCUUGAACCGUGUGAGGAUGUAAUCAGAAAAGCACAAGGGAGUGCCUGUAUGUUGGCUGCGAUAGAACAGUGAGAAACGAGCCCUGCAAAGCAGCUCUGAUGGCGGUGACUGCGCUCUGCUUCCCACUGCACCAAAAGGUGGCUGUGCUCACGCUGCAUUUAGCCAGUGUUUGUUCUGU